CCUACGUGGUGCAGCAGUGGGGAAUAUUGGACAAUGGGCGAAAGCCUGAUCCAGCCAUGCCGCGUGUGUGAAGAAGGCCUUCGGGUUGUAAAGCACUUUCAGUGGGGAAGAAAGCCUUGGGGCUAAUACCCUCGAGGAAGGACAUCACCCACAGAAGAAGCACCGGCUAACUCCGUGCCAGCAGCCGCGGUAAUACGGAGGGUGCGAGCGUUAAUCGGAAUUACUGGGCGUAAAGUGCGCGUAGGCGGUCUGAUAAGCCGGUUGUGAAAGCCCCGGGCUCAACCUGGGAACGGCAUCCGGAACUGUCAGGCUAGAGUGCAGGAGAGGAAGGUAGAAUUCCCGGUGUAGCGGUGAAAUGCGUAGAGAUCGGGAGGAAUACCAGUGGCGAAGGCGGCCUUCUGGACUGACACUGACGCUGAGGUGCGAAAGCGUGGGUAGCAAACAGGAUUAGAUACCCGUGUAGUC
RNAcentral lists this ribosomal RNA (465 nucleotides) under Vreelandella stevensii. Its description in RNAcentral is "partial 16S ribosomal RNA". It matches the Rfam family "Bacterial small subunit ribosomal RNA", at positions 338 to 795 of the family's 1533-position model. Lineage: Bacteria; Pseudomonadati; Pseudomonadota; Gammaproteobacteria; Oceanospirillales; Halomonadaceae. The record is from RNAcentral.